AUACAGAGGGUGCGAGCGUUAAUCGGAAUUACUGGGCGUAAAGCGCGCGUAGGCGGUUUGAUAAGUCGGAUGUGAAAGCCCUGAGCUUAACUUGGGAACUGCAUUCGAAACUGUCUGACUAGAGUAUGGUAGAGGGUAGUGGAAUUCCGGGUGUAGCGGUGAAAUGCGUAGAGAUCCGGAGGAACACCAGUGGCGAAGGCGGCUACCUGGACCAAUACUGACGCUGAGGUGCGAAAGCGUGGGGAGCAAACAGGAUUAGAUACCCCAGUAGUCC
This 274-nucleotide ribosomal RNA is filed under the name uncultured bacterium. RNAcentral's name for it is "partial 16S ribosomal RNA". It matches the Rfam family "Bacterial small subunit ribosomal RNA", at positions 523 to 796 of the family's 1533-position model. The record is from RNAcentral.